Eupeodes corollae is the source of this 479-nucleotide long non-coding RNA. RefSeq lists it as uncharacterized. Lineage: Eukaryota; Metazoa; Arthropoda; Insecta; Diptera; Syrphidae. The record is from RefSeq and is a predicted model, not a curated record. The transcript has 3 exons.
ACUUAUCUUAGACUUGAACCAUUGAAAAAUUCAUUUAAGUUCAUCUAGUGGAUGAACAAUCGUGUCUAAUAUUUUUCUGCGCAUGCGCUAGUAGAAGUUUUUCUAUCCCCUUAUCCCUUGUGUGAAAAUGAGACAAAGCUACUAUUGCAUGCGCAGAACGAAAUGACUAGAUAGGGUAACACAUAGGAAUUGUCAAAAGAAAAAUCAAAACAAACAUGGACGUACUUAGAAGAGCAGAAAUUAUGUUGGGGUUCCUUAAUAUUUUCCUGUAUAAUCAAGAAAUCUAUCAGAGGACCAUUGACCCAUUCUGUAGGUGACAAGCCACCGAGGAUGGAUAAGGCCACCUCAAAUAAGAAGAAAAAUCGUCAUCGUUGGAAUGGAAGACGGUGUCGUCGCCGUCGCGCAGCCGCGCCGCCGCGUCGGCUAUAGAUAUUCAUAUACAUAUGAGUAUAUGAACAUUUAUAUGGCCACGCAACAGU